AUUGAACGCUGGCGGCAUGCUUUACACAUGCAAGUCGAACGGUAACAGGCCUUCGGGUGCUGACGAGUGGCGAACGGGUGAGUAAUGCAUCGGAACGUACCCAGAGGUGGGGGAUAAUGCAGCGAAAGCUGUGCUAAUACCGCAUGUGAUCUGAGGAUGAAAGCGGGGGACCGAGCAGCGAUGUUUGGCCUCGCGCCUUUGGAGCGGCCGAUGUCGGAUUAGCUAGUUGGUGGGGUAAAGGCCUACCAAGGCGACGAUCCGUAGCUGGUCUGAGAGGACGACCAGCCACACUGGGACUGAGACACGGCCCAGACUCCUACGGGAGGCAGCAGUGGGGAAUUUUGGACAAUGGGCGCAAGCCUGAUCCAGCAAUGCCGCGUGCGGGAAGAAGGCCUUCGGGUUGUAAACCGCUUUUGGCAGGAACGAAACGGUGUCCGCUAAUACCGGGCGCUAAUGACGGUACCUGCAGAAUAAGCACCGGCUAACUACGUG
This 492-nucleotide ribosomal RNA is filed under the name uncultured bacterium. RNAcentral's name for it is "partial 16S ribosomal RNA". It matches the Rfam family "Bacterial small subunit ribosomal RNA", at positions 29 to 507 of the family's 1533-position model. The record is from RNAcentral.